GCCCCUAUAGCUUAAUUGGAUAGAGCACCCCGGUCCUAACGGGGCGAUUCCCAGUCCGAGUCUGGGUAGGGGCG
This 74-nucleotide transfer RNA is filed under the name Candidatus Gottesmanbacteria bacterium. RNAcentral's name for it is "tRNA-Arg". Lineage: Bacteria; Candidatus Gottesmaniibacteriota. The record is from RNAcentral.